AGGGACAACAGAGCUGGGGAGGCAGACAAGAGUAGGGGUUUGUGUCUCCACUCUGCUUCCCAAUGAGGUUUCUAGGGCAGAUCACUGGCUCCCCAUCUCGUUUUGUGGCUGUCCAAGCCAGCUCGUGUCUGACUCAUCUCUCUGCCAGAUGUGCCAGCAGCAGCUGUGAGUGUGGAUGACCACAAGCAAACCCCCAGGCAGCAGACCCCUCUCUACUGUUUUUUGGGGAAAGACUUGGAAAGAUCCUGAUUCCCUGGCUUGAAAUCCAUUGCCACAAAUUAUCAUUUGCCUGUUGAUUGCUCUCAAGGGGACAAAACAUCAAGUUACAACCUGUGGUUUUCAGCCCCAGUGGGUUAGGAGCAGAAAAUCUGUUGAGACCUAAGGCUUAGAUCUGUUGGUUUGAUAUGUAGUUCAGUAAAGCACACAGGAGAGGAGCCACGAUGAAGGCUGCUUUGCCACAUCAGUGCUAGCCAAACUCCCAGUAGGGAGAUGCUUUUCAAGGAAGCUGCAAGCUAAAGAGGCCCAAUGUUGCUAAUUUUCUGCCUAAACCAAUGGUGAUGUGUUCAGCUGCUGCUUUGCUUCCUGGACAGUGGGGCUACACUUCAGUAAUGUGAAUUACUUCUCCUUUCCAGUGGUUCCUUCAGCUGCAAACAGUGUUGUGGAGUAAAUAUGAUAUAACAAAGAGCAUCCAUCAGAUUUUCAGAUGCUAGGUCAGGUUUUUAGAGUGACUCCUUUCACACUGGACAAAUGGAAUGUGUGCAUCCAGGGGACAAAAGAAAUUCUGCACAGCUCUUUCACAAUUGCAGCGUCUGUGACACAACAGCCUGAGGAGCUGGAGAGUGCAUUCUGGCCAAGCAACAAGUUCUUCAGCACAUGCACCUCAAACCCUUGCAUGCAGGCUGCAGGAGUCAUGGAAAACCUUCUGGUGACUCAAAGCUAGAGAGAAGUGUUUGUGUCCCAGCUAAACCUGCAGCCCUGUUGGUGUCAGCUGAAGUUUAAUGCAGCUGUAUUGAUACCACGUAUCCCACUUCAGCAACAGACCUGUGCAAGCUGGUUCACGGCAUCACCAUGCCAAAAAAAAAUUAAAAGAAGCAAAGUUUCUCUUCUGUGAUCCCUCUAGCUGCCUCCAUGACUCCAGCUCUACCACUACCCAGAAAAAUCUGUGUCUUCAUUUUCACUGAUAGUGAGCUCACAAAUCCAGAGAUGAACUGGAACAACAAAAACAAGAGGCUUUGAUUUGGUCCAUCAGCCCCAGUGUGGCUCUACACGAUAAGGACUCAACCUUCAGCCAGUUUGGGAAAAAGGAUGAGAAAAAGCACAGAGCACAGGGGAGGAGUGUAAGUAUGGAAGGUAGUGAGCAGCCUGGAUUGGAUAUUGAGCUGAAAAAUCAGUACCAGCAGCCUAGAAAAAAAAAAAUAAAUAAAAAUAUCCAGAGGAAGAAUAUAGCAUACUUGGAAAGGACACUGGCCAGAGCAGGCUUUGGUUUUGUUAGUUAGGACAGGAAACUCCUAACCAAAGGUGGCUUGGAAGAGAAGGAGCACAUGGAUCAAAGAAGAGGAAAUGCCAAAGAGCAUUCACCAAGUCUCUGCUCACUGCUGAAUAGCAGUGGGAGAGCAGAGCUUUUUGUGCUUGAAUAAGAAGUUUAAAGAAGUCAUUUAAAAACAGUGUAAGAACCUAGAAAAAGGAAACAACCUUAAGUGGUUGUGGGCAGCCCCUAGCAUCCUGGAAUAAAAAGAACAAUAUAAGAGGAAACACAGUCCAACAGAAAUAAUGGGGACGAUAGAGGGAGCCAAAUUAAUUCAAAAAAACAUCAGGCAAAAUUGGUACCGCAGUUCUUCUGACAAAAAGAGAGAUUAGGAGUCUUCAUUUAAGGUUCACAGAGUUCUUAGCAGUGUAGAGAGUGGGGAUACUACAAAGCUGUUUGACCCAGUGUCAAGAACAAACCAAGAUGCAGCAGUAAGAUAAGGCACAGCUGGACAUUACAGGAAUUCAGGGAGGAAUGUCAGCAUAGAGCAAGACAGAAACACAACAUAAACUCCCUUUACACGGCCAGGGGACCAAGAGUUAGCUCUGUGGAAGAAUUGGGCAUUAGGUAAUACUGUAGAAUUCUGUAGCUGGCCUAAAGGAGACUGUACCUGAGGAUUUGUCACCUCUAGAUUUUACCCACAGAGCUGUUGGUAUUUUUUAGUGCUCCUGCUUGUUGACAAAGUGCUCUGAGCUCGCCUGCCCUCUCCUCUCAGUUACUGCAGGGAGCUGGAGCUGGCUCAAUCCAGCACAGGCAGACACAAUACACAAGAGAUCAGAUACUGCCUUGCUCAAGAUCAAGUCUUGCAGUCAUUGUGCCUUGAAACACAGUCAGGGUUGGUCUCCUUCAAACAAUAAAUGAACCAAGUCAAAAGCUUUUGGGGAAAGCAGAUGCAAAGGCUGAGCUUAGAGAGAUAACUAAUAAAACACUAAAAAAUGGAGUACAUUUUGGCAAAAACCUUGGUGAGGAAGGCAUAGGAAAUCUUAUUUUUUGUGUGAAAUUUACAGCCAAGGAAAGCAAGGGCUGUGUCUGAAGAAAAAUCAGGUGUCUGAUGGCACCUUUUGUGUCAUCCUCUUUGCCAUGCCAUUUCUCAAGGGACCCUCACAGACCCCCAAAGAGCAUAGCAGUUGCAGCAGAUGAGCCUGGUAGCCCUCCUAAUCCAGUCUUCUCACUUCAACAGUUGCUACUCUCUGAUACUUCAAAGAAAGGUGCAAGAAACCCCAUAGUGGACAAUAAUAGAAUAACCCGCCCACAAGGGAAGUUUUUCCCCUAAUCCCUCGCCAUCAGUUAGUGGUUAUAUUGUGCCUUGAAGCCUGACAGUUUAUAUCCCUUCUAAAAUUUAUUUAUAUCCUGUCUAAUGUGACCAUGAAUGUUCUUGGUAUCCAUAUAAAUGUCUAAUCCUUUUCUGAAUCCUGCUAAUCUCCCGGCCUCAAUGAAACCUCGUGGUAACAAAUGCCAUGUGUUAAUUACGCACGGUACAAAUAUUUCCUUGCACCAUUUUAAAUUCGCUUCCAAUCUCACUGGGUAUCCCUUGAUCCCGCCAUAGGAGAAAGGGCAAUGAAAUCAGAGCUUGUUCUUUCUUGCUGAGCCACGCUGCUGCUCCUUGAUUUGUUUCUUCUCUAAACUAGCUGUUCCCAUCCUCAGCCAGUUUUCCCUGGUCGGGCUGUUAGGCAGUGGCCUGGCACACAGCACAGAGCUUAUAGCUUCACCUUUUUCUCUGUUGAUAUGUUCAUUUGGAAGGGAAAAAGGGAGAGGAGACCCUGGAGAUCUCAGAAGUGGGUGCUAGUUGGAGGCUGAGGUCAGACUGUUCUGUGUCAGCAGGUGUUAGCAGCAAUAUGGUGACACUGACUGAUGCCACCAGCCUUUCCCUCUCUGAGCAGAGGCAGAGCAGGGCGUCUGCAAUGUGUUUUCCCCUUCAGGCUGCUCCUGAAAGGGGAUAGAUAUCUCCCUCCAGCUCCAAGCCGGGCAUUUCACUGUUUCCUGGCAUCCACGCUGGUUAAGACCAGGCGGUGGGAUAAACCCAGCUGUGAAGGAAUUUCCCUCACCCACAGCCCAGCUCCGCACAGCUCCGCUCUGCCAGGACUGUGCUUGGACUGCAGCGGUUUCACUGCGGGUAGGAAAGCUGAGGCAGCCGGGCACAGUGAUGCUUGGUCAUUUUGAAGCCGUGCUGCCCACAGAGAGCUCGUGGGGUGAUGCAGUGACGGCACACUUGGUGUUUCACCGCAGCUCCGUCCCAUUAAGGCAGCUCCACCAGCAGGUCAUUAACACCCGCCUGUCGCCGAAUGUUUUCCCGCAGUAGUGCUCAAAACAGGGCCGCGUUGCUCUUCACCUCCGAGCCAGGAGGAGCGGGGGGAGCGGGAGCGCGGGUGACACCCGGGGGUGCCU
This is a non-coding RNA of Cyanistes caeruleus (blue tit), 3910 nucleotides long. Lineage: Eukaryota; Metazoa; Chordata; Aves; Passeriformes; Paridae. The record is from RefSeq and is a predicted model, not a curated record.